RNAcentral lists this ribosomal RNA (489 nucleotides) under uncultured Chloroflexota bacterium. RNAcentral's name for it is "bacterial SSU rRNA". It matches the Rfam family "Bacterial small subunit ribosomal RNA", at positions 8 to 513 of the family's 1533-position model. The record is from RNAcentral. Lineage: Bacteria; Bacillati; Chloroflexota.
AGGGUUUGAUUAUGGCUCAGGACGAACGUUGGCGGUGUGUCUAAGGCAUGCAAGUCGAACGAGAUCGCUUCCUUCGGGAAGCAUAUAUCUAGUGGCAGACGGCUGAGUAACGCGUAAGUAACUUACCCUAGAGUGGGGAAUAACACAGAGAAAUCUGUGCUAAUACCGCAUACGAUUUAUUGAUUAUUUCUAUAAAUGAAAGAUUUAUCGCUCUUGGAUGGGCUUGCGUCCUAUCAGGUAGUUGGGGGGGUAAUGGCCCACCAAGCCUAAGACGGGUAGCUGGUGUGAGAGCACGACCAGCCAGAGGGGGACUGAGACACGGCCCCCACUCCUACGGGAGGCAGCAGCUAAGAAUAUUGCACAAUGGACGAAAGUCUGAUGCAGCGACACCGCGUGAGGGAUGAAGGUUUUAGGAUCGUAAACCUCUUUUAUUAGGGAAUAGUAAGGAAGGUACCUAAUGAAUAAGGUACGGCUAACUACGUGCCAGCC